RNAcentral lists this long non-coding RNA (825 nucleotides) under Ursus maritimus (polar bear). RNAcentral describes it as "lncRNA (ENSUMAG00000015466.1)". Lineage: Eukaryota; Metazoa; Chordata; Mammalia; Carnivora; Ursidae. The record is from RNAcentral.
CACAGGACCAAGGGUGUGAGGGCAGAUUUGGGGCUGUGGACUGUCAUAUGACUAUACCCUGCUUUCAACCCAUCCUGAUUAUGGGUUCUGCGUAGGUACGUCCCGAGCAUGUCAAGGUGGUGCUCUGGGAGGAAACUGCACCCAUGCAUUCCAAGCACCAUCCCACAGCGUUUUGUACAUACGAUGCCCACCAUCAUGGGCUUAUUUGUGGUAUCUACAUUUAUUAAGCAUGCUGCCUAAACCAGUAUUGGAGACAUUAAGAACACUGGAAACUCCCAACCAAGUAAAGGCCAAAUCCCCCGAGGCAUUGCUGCGUCCUCCCCUGGUGGCAUGGUGCACGCACAACAACUCCUGGGCUACUCCUGCAGCAAGUUGUGAUAAAUGCACUCUACACAGUACCCAUAGUCUUCCUGUGACCUCUCUCUUCUCAGCGCACUCCCCCAGCAAAUGGCACUGCUAAUUACACCUGUUGCAGCCUGUUGUAGAAGCAGCACACACCCCAAAACAAUGAGUGGCCCCGCCAAGCUCCUUCCCCUGGAACCACACUCGGCAUCUCAGCAGCAAGCCGCGGGAGCUUUGAACUGUGUGCGAGAGCAUCUGUGCUUUAUCUCCAUUUAUUUUGUGCAUCCGUUAGCAAGAUGGGAAAGACACAUAAGCCAAGACUUGUGCUACAGGUGGGAAGGAUUGUCCGGAAGGGAGUGUGGUGAGGCCUGCCAGGUGUACGGGACUGCCUUCAUGGGAGGUGACCUUUGUGUGGAGGACGCUUUGCAUUUCUGGUACGGACAGUCUGCCUGCUGUUGCUUCUCUCCUCUACAAGUACACUAG